This 665-nucleotide long non-coding RNA is filed under the name Linum usitatissimum (flax). Its description in RNAcentral is "long non-coding RNA (LUSI_LNC002380)". The record is from RNAcentral. Lineage: Eukaryota; Viridiplantae; Streptophyta; Magnoliopsida; Malpighiales; Linaceae.
UGAUAUUUACUUUUAAAUAACUUGGGGCAAUUAAUUGGCUAUUUACAACAUUUAAUGGUUGCAAGGAUGCGUAAAAUGACAAAAAGGCAAGGGAGAGAAAAGAGCAACUAAACUAAAUUCAGGGCUAAAAAUGUAAAACAACAUUCUAACCCUAAUCUUCCGUAUAAAUAUCCCUCUUAAUCCGAAACUUAGCACUCUCUACAAUCCUAGUCGCUCUCUCUCCUGUUCAUCUCCUCUCAAAUCUCUUCCACUCUCCUCCUUAUCUCAUAGCGACAUCACCGCCACACUUCCUUUCUCCUCUGUUCAGCGGCGAUAGGGUCGCGGCCGUUGCCUCUCCUUUCCUUUCUUUCUCCCAAAUCUCCUACAAUCUGCGAUGGAGGCACCGCUGUCGCCGUCGCCUCCUUCCUCUUUUCCUUCUCUGUCUCGUCUCAACAGUGACGACACCACCACCGUCUCCUUCCUUUUCCUCCCUCUUUUCUUCGUUUCAACAGCGGCAGCGUUGCUUCGCCUCCUUCCUUUCUUCUCUCUUCACCUCACCUCAAUAGCAGCAACUGCGACGAAAGCACUGCCGCCUCAUUUUUCGUCUCCUCUCGCCAACAGCAGCGGCGAAAACAGAGCUAAUCGUCCGUCUCCACCUCUAAUCCUCUCUUCUCUUAUUUUAAGCG